GAUGAAGAACGUAGCGAAAUGCGAUAAGUAAUGUGAAUUGCAGAAUUCAGUGAAUCAUCGAAUCUUUGAACGCACAUUGCGCCCGCCAGUAUUCUGGCGGGCAUGCCUGUUCGAGCGUCAUUACAACCCUCAGGCCCCCGGGCCUGGCGUUGGGGAUCGGCGGAAGCCCCCUGCGGGCACAACGCCGUCCCCCUAAUACAGUGGCGGUCCCGCCGCAGCUUCCAUUGCGUAGUAGCUAACACCUCGCAACUGGAGAGCGGCGCGGCCACGCCGUAAAACACCCAACUUCUGAAUGUUGACCUCGAAUCAGGUAGGAAUACCCGCUGAACUUAAGCAUAUCAAUAAGCGGAGGA
This 353-nucleotide unclassified non-coding RNA is filed under the name soil metagenome. RNAcentral describes it as "partial contains 5.8S ribosomal RNA, internal transcribed spacer 2, and large subunit ribosomal RNA". The stretch from base 1 to 120 matches the Rfam family "5.8S ribosomal RNA", at positions 35 to 154 of the family's 154-position model. The record is from RNAcentral.